CUUGCAUUCUCAUUCAGUCAGUCACAAAGAGAUUGAUUAUCUCACUGACAGCCUAGGAGAACUGAGGCUACCAGACUCUGCAAAUCUGCUAACUUCAAGUCAUCCUUUCUCUCCUUAUGAACCAGCUCAAGCCCAGCACAAGUUAGUUAAUCAGGAAGAUGCUACAUAUCCUCAUCUUGGUAUUAGGCAUGUAGACAGACAAAGUGGUUAUUACAACAUAGACCACAGAGGCCAUAACUAUCUGUCCACUGACCAAAGAGAGCGCAGCCAAUCUCCCUCAGCUGUUCAGUUUAUGCCUCAUGACUACAGCCAAGAGACAGCAGCUACUUAUGGAACUUAUAAAGAUCAUAGUCUGAACAGCAGACCUGUCAGCUAUUUCCCUUCCACCGAACCACAUGGUUAUCAGCAACCUCAUCAUGGUUAUUCAGUUACAAGUCCAGUCUACCAAGAUGAGAGACUUAUGUCAAGGGAUACAUUAGCUCACCAUGCACGCUAUGAGAGACACUCAGACUACUAUGGUCGAUCAGCUGCUACUCCUGCAGACAAAUCAAUAUUCUUGACCCCACAACAGUACGCAGAUUAUGCUCAGUCUGAAACAUAUCAUCCAUACCACCCAGUGCGUCCUCCUUCUCCAACUUAUCCUCAUGUAGAGCCCACCUACAGAGGUCCCAUUCCCACCAUUCCUAAUUUUAGCAGUGAGGAUCCCAGAGAGUUUGCACGACUCAAAAUUGCACUGGAGAAUUUGCUACCUGUUGAGGCUACAGAACGUUUUAAGUACCAAAUACUCGUUGAUCAUCUGAAACAGGAGAAUGCUUUGCUCAUUGCAGACUCAUAUGUCAACAGCAGGUACCCAUACACCAACACUAUGAGGUCUCUAACUGCACUUUAUGGUCAACCACAUCAACUCGCACUACAAAGAAUUGCAGAAUUGAUGGAUGGCCCAAAAAUCAGGAGUGGCGACAUUAAAUCCUUUAGAAUGUUUGCCCUCAAAGUGUGUGCAUUAGUUGGAAUGCUGGACCAACUUGGAGCUAAAGGAUGGACAGAACUCAAAUGUGGGUCUCAUGUUUCACGUCUUCUUGCCAAACUGCCUCAUGAUCUUAAAGCAAAUUUCAGAAGGUUUGUUAAUCCCAUUCAAAUCCCAGUUCCAACACUGCUAGAAUUUAGUGACUGGCUUGAAUACGAGCUCAGAAUACAAGAGGAUGAGACACAGUAUGCUAGUAAUGUAAGCAGAGUCUACUCUCAACCAGUGUUAAUUUUUACACGAAAUUUUAAUUUAGUUUUAGUCUUAGUCUUUUGACUAUAAUUCUUUUUAGUUUUAGUCAAGUUUUAGUCAUCUGAUUUGUUUUAAUUUUAGUCUUAUUUUAGUCGACUAAAAUUGCUUGGUAUUUUAGUCGACUAAAAUAAGACUAAAAUCAAUAACAGAUUUACUAGACAAUAU
RNAcentral lists this long non-coding RNA (1438 nucleotides) under Carassius auratus (goldfish). Its description in RNAcentral is "lncRNA (ENSCARG00000065974.1)". Lineage: Eukaryota; Metazoa; Chordata; Actinopteri; Cypriniformes; Cyprinidae. The record is from RNAcentral.